UACGGAGGGUGCAAGCGUUGUCCGGAUUUAUUGGGUUUAAAGGGUGCGUAGGCGGGGAGUUAAGUCAGAGGUGAAAGCCCACAGCUCAACUGUGGAACUGCCAUUGAUACUGGUUUUCUUGAGUGUAGAUGAGGCAGGCGGAAUUUACGAUGUAGCGGUGAAAUGCAUAGAUAUCGUAAAGAACACCUAUAGCGAAGGCAGCUUGCUAAACUACUACUGACGCUGAGGCACGAAAGCAUGGGGAGCAAACAGG
RNAcentral lists this unclassified non-coding RNA (253 nucleotides) under uncultured Cytophagales bacterium. RNAcentral describes it as "contains 16S-23S intergenic spacer region". It matches the Rfam family "Bacterial small subunit ribosomal RNA", at positions 524 to 776 of the family's 1533-position model. The record is from RNAcentral. Lineage: Bacteria; Pseudomonadati; Bacteroidota; Sphingobacteriia; Sphingobacteriales.